Molecule: ribosomal RNA, 440 nt
Filed under: uncultured bacterium
Lineage: Bacteria
Description: partial 16S ribosomal RNA
Rfam family: Bacterial small subunit ribosomal RNA
Source: RNAcentral
CCUACGGGUGGCAGCAGUGAGGGAUAUUGGUCAAUGGGGGAAACCCUGAACCAGCAACGCCGCGUGAGUGAAGAAGGAUUUCGGAUUGUAAAACUCUGUCCUCUGGGAAGAAAAUGACGGUAGCAGAGGAGGAAGCUCCGGCUAACUACGUGCCAGCAGCCGCGGUAAUACGUAGGGAGCAAGCGUUAUCCGGAUUUACUGGGUGUAAAGGGUGCGUAGGCGGCACUGCAAGUCAGAAGUGAAAUCCAUGGGCUUAACCCGUGAACUGCUUUGGAAACUGUAGGGCUUGAGUGAAGGAGAGGUAGGCGGAAUUCCUGGUGUAGCGGUGAAAUGCGUAGAGAUUGGGAGGAACACCAGUGGCGAAGGCGGCCUGCUGGGCUUUAACUGACGCUGAGGCUCGAAAGCGUGGGUAGCAAACAGGAUUAGAUACCCUAGUAGUC